This 249-nucleotide unclassified non-coding RNA is filed under the name Hevea brasiliensis (rubber tree). Lineage: Eukaryota; Viridiplantae; Streptophyta; Magnoliopsida; Malpighiales; Euphorbiaceae. The record is from RNAcentral.
GGAACCAUUGACUGGUUUGACCAGACUGGUUUUGGUUCCAAACUAGACCUUGACUAGGUCUAAUGUUGUGAAUCAAACAAGAUAAAUUGGUGCACUUCGUGAGGAAUACUAUUUCGUGACCAAAUGAGGCCUUAGUCCGUGUGACAUUGUUUCUAUGAUGAACCUUCUUGUUUGACAUGCUAAGUUGCUAAAAGGUACCUAACUUUUGUGUCACGUAAUAAUUUUAUAAUUACAAUACUUCAAUUUUUG